RNAcentral lists this long non-coding RNA (1127 nucleotides) under Homo sapiens (human). RNAcentral's name for it is "HSALNT0250358". Lineage: Eukaryota; Metazoa; Chordata; Mammalia; Primates; Hominidae. The record is from RNAcentral.
CCACAGUGCCUCCCUCAAACUGGAUAUAUUUCCAUUCAUUACUGCUCUCAGCUUACCAUGAUCCAGGCAGGCAAUGGAGAAGUCAAUGAGACACAGUCCUAUUGGGCUGAAAGAAAGCAAGCAUCCAUGUUGUGAGAUGCCUAUGGGGUUCAUGUGACAAGGAACUGUGGAUGAACUCUAGCAGCUGAGAGCAGUCCCUGGCUAUUUGAUAGCUAACAAAGAAACGGGGACCUCAGUCAUACAACUGCAAGGAAAUGAAUUCUGCCAACAACCAGAAAGGAGCAGUUUGCCUCUCUCUGUGAUUACCAAACCAGAGUGAAAGCCUUCAACUACGGACCACUGCAAUUUCCACCAUAACAGGCAACCCAGCAAUUAGAACUGUUUGUUACAGUGACAGCAGAGAGAACCAUUUUCAAGCAACAAGGCACAGGAGCAGGAGCUGGAGGAAGAGAGAGCCUGUUCAUUUGAAGGGGACUAACGCCACACAGCAGCUAAUCCUGGAAUGGCAGGCAGUUUUGGGAACUGCCUAUCCUGCAAAGGCUGAGAUAUUCACAGACAUUCUUGAACUUUUGGAAAUGGUCUAAUUCUGCUUUUUUCUGACCAGGAAUACAAUUGGGUCAUAAAAUUUGGCGUUUGGGAAGAGACAAAGGUUUAUCUUUAGUCCAGUGCAUAAUUUAAUUUCUUACUUCAAUAUUAAAAAUGAAAACAUAAAGGUAGGCACUUUCUUUUCAAAUUCUGGAUUUUAGUGAGUAUUUCGGUGCUCAGAAAACAUCUCACAAUUGAAACUUUGCAAACAGAGUCAUGUUUGUUUACAACAAAAGUACUUGAAAUAAAACUACAGCAUGUUAUUCUGUUGCCACUUUGUCAUUUAUUCUCAUUUUCAUAUGUUUUAAAUUAUGUUACAAAUUUAUUGAUAGCUUGGGAGAAAAUGCCAAUUUUGAUAUCUUUUUUCUUUCUUUUUCUUGUUAUUAUUUUUCUUUUCUUCCCCUGCUCCUUUCUUUCUUUUUAAUACACUCUUCUUUUGUUACCAUUGCAUUUAGUCCUUGAUAUAAGCAAUGACAAACUACCUAUCUCCAGUACAUGUCAGGUUAUCUUUGGAUUUUAUUUCUCCCUGUCUCAAAUGAAGC